Molecule: ribosomal RNA, 253 nt
Filed under: uncultured bacterium
Lineage: Bacteria
Description: partial 16S ribosomal RNA
Rfam family: Bacterial small subunit ribosomal RNA
Source: RNAcentral
UACAGAGGUCUCAAGCGUUGUUCGGAUUCAUUGGGCGUAAAGGGUGCGUAGGUGGCGAGGUUAGUCAGGUGUGAAAUCUCGGGGCUCAACCCCGAAACUGCACUUGAUACUGCCUUGCUAGAGUACUGGAGAGGAGAUCGGAAUUUACGGUGUAGCAGUGAAAUGCGUAGAUAUCGUAAGGAAGACCAGUGGCGAAGGCGAAUCUCUGGACAGUUACUGACACUGAGGCACGAAGGCCAGGGGAGCAAACGGG